CACGUAGGGUGCGAGCGUUGUCCGGAAUUAUUGGGCGUAAAGAGCUCGUAGGCGGUUUGUUGCGUCGGCUGUGAAAUCCCGAGGCUCAACCUCGGGUCUGCAGUCGAUACGAGCAAACUAGAGUGUUGCAGGGGAGACUGGAAUUCCUGGUGUAGCGGUGAAAUGCGCAGAUAUCAGGAGGAACACCGAUGGCGAAGGCAGGUCUCUGGGCCAUAACUGACGCUGAGAAGCGAAAGCAUGGGGAGCGAACAGG
Molecule: ribosomal RNA, 253 nt
Filed under: uncultured bacterium
Lineage: Bacteria
Description: partial 16S ribosomal RNA
Rfam family: Bacterial small subunit ribosomal RNA
Source: RNAcentral